Molecule: ribosomal RNA, 363 nt
Filed under: Sulfurimonas sp.
Lineage: Bacteria; Pseudomonadati; Campylobacterota; Epsilonproteobacteria; Campylobacterales; Sulfurimonadaceae
Description: bacterial SSU rRNA
Rfam family: Bacterial small subunit ribosomal RNA
Source: RNAcentral
UUAUGGAGAGUUUGAUCCUGGCUCAGAGUGAACGCUGGCGGCGUGCUUAACACAUGCAAGUCGAACGGUAACAGAGACUUCGGUCUGCUGACGAGUGGCGCACGGGUGAGUAAUAUAUAGUUAAUGUGCCUUCAAGACCGGGAUAGCCAUUGGAAACGAUGAUUAAUACUGGAUAUACCUACUAAUCAUAAGUUUAGUAGGGAAACGUUUUUUCGCUUGAAGAUCAGACUAUAUCCCAUCAGCUUGUUGGUGAGGUAAGAGCUCACCAAGGCAAUGACGGGUAGCGGGUUUGAGAGGAUGAUCCGCCACACUGGUACUGAGACACGGACCAGACUCCUACGGGAGGCAGCAGUGAGGAAUAUU